GGGGGGAAGCAGACCCACGUUUAGGCCCAACUACCCGGCGCCAGCACCCCCUGCCGUCCCUAGAACCGCCAUAAGUAACCCACCACAAGGUCCAGCAGUAACGCCUCGACCCCCUGCAGUGUGUCAUUACUGUAAACAGCCAGGACAUUACAAGAACCAGUGUCCUCGCUUAAACAGAGGAAGCUGAGAAAGGCAACCACCACAACAUCCCAGGUCAGCCACCCAUUGUGUACAGCCGGAAAGCACACCUAACCAAGAAAAACAGUGGAGUGUGUUGCAUGAGGUCAAUCCAGUGCAAGCUGGGGGAGACAACCGGGACCACCACCGCCAAUGGAUUACAGUGAAUGGCGUGGGGGCGCGAGCGUGAGGGACUCUGGAGCCACUCUAACAGUAGUACAACCCCACAUGAUCGCACCGUAGCCGUAAGGGUGGCUGGGGGUGCUAUACACAAGCUACCUACAGCCAACGUACUGGUCGAUUGGGGUUCUGGGUCCAAACAGUUGGAGGUUGGCAUUAUGCAGGAACUGCCAGCUGAGGUCCUGUUGGGAAAUGACGUUGGCUGUUUAACCUCUCAACUAACCCGGGACACUACAGUGGAAGCCUACGCCGUUACCACCCGAGCCCAAGCCCGACUGGAAGCACCGCUGCACUCUGAGGACAACCAGGUAGGAGUUGACAUCCCCCCUUUGCCAGAUCCCCCUACCACCAUCUGGGAUACACCACAGGGGUUUGAACAAGAGCAGCGGACAGACCCCACUGUAGAAGGGUAUAGAAAGGCCGUAGAGAUACCUAAGGGGGAUAACCCCCACGAAAAGUUUGAAUGGUAUAAGGGAUUGUUGUACCGAGUGACUGAAGGGGUGGGACGCGGGGCCACGCAGGUCACUAAAAGACAACUGGUAAUACCCCGUAAAUUUCGAGCCGAGUUAUUAAAACUCAGUCCUGAUAUUCCCCUAGCGGGACAUCUAGGGGUCAAAAAGACGAGGGCCCGAUUGACCCAAACAUUCUUCUGGCCUAGGAUUACGCAAGAUCUGAAGUAUUAUUGUAGGACAUGUGACAUAUGUCAAAGACUAGGGAAGAGAGGUAAUCACCACAAAGCCAAACUUCACACUUUACCGAUUAUAGAAGAACCCUUCCACCGAGUAGCAGUGGACCUAAUAGGACCUCUCAGCCGACCCAGUCAGUCUGGCAAGAGAUUCUUUCUAACUGUAGUGGACUACGCCACUAGAUACCCGGAAGCGGUAGCCCUCACCAAUAUAGAGGCCGAGACCGUGGCCGAGGUCCUAGUUAAAAUAUUCUCCCGGGUAGGUUUUCCGCAGGAGAUCUUGUCCGAUUGAGGGACUCAGUUCACAGCUCUCCUUACCCAGCAACUAUGGCAGAGCUGCGGAGUGAAAGUCCUAUUCAGCGCCCCCUACCAUCCCCAGACCAAUGGACUCUGAACGGUUUAAUGUCACACUUAAACUGAUCCCGAAAACCUUUGCAGAGUCCUGCAGGAAUUGGGAAAAGUAUCUUCCCCAUCUUCUGUUUGCCUACCGCGAAGUAUCUCUCUAACCCCCCCUCCUCCAAUGGUGGUUUCUCUCUG
This 1579-nucleotide long non-coding RNA is filed under the name Pelobates cultripes (western spadefoot toad). Lineage: Eukaryota; Metazoa; Chordata; Amphibia; Anura; Pelobatidae. The record is from RNAcentral.